This 67-nucleotide transfer RNA is filed under the name Marmota monax (woodchuck). RNAcentral's name for it is "tRNA.Ala". The record is from RNAcentral. Lineage: Eukaryota; Metazoa; Chordata; Mammalia; Rodentia; Sciuridae.
GGUUGUGGCUCAGUGGUAGAGUGCUUGCCUAGCAUGUAUGAGGCACUAGGUUUAAUUCUCAGAACCA